Molecule: ribosomal RNA, 364 nt
Filed under: Clostridioides difficile
Lineage: Bacteria; Bacillati; Bacillota; Clostridia; Peptostreptococcales; Peptostreptococcaceae
Description: bacterial LSU rRNA
Rfam family: Bacterial large subunit ribosomal RNA
Source: RNAcentral
UAGGUCCCAAGGGUUGGGCUGUUCGCCCAUUAAAGUGGUACGCGAGCUGGGUUCAGAACGUCGUGAGACAGUUCGGUCCCUAUCCGUCGCAGGCGUAGGAAAUUUGAGAAGACCUGUCCUUAGUACGAGAGGACCGGGAUGGACGUACCUCUGGUGUACCAGUUGUCCUGCCAAGGGCAUGGCUGGGUAGCUAUGUACGGAAUGGAUAAGCGCUGAAAGCAUCUAAGCGCGAAGCCAACUUCAAGAUAAGAUUUCCCACCGCAAGGGUAAGACCCCAGAAAGACUAUCUGGUUGAUAGGUCGAAGGUGUAAGUGCAGCAAUGUAUUUAGCUUAUCGAUACUAAUAGGUCGAGGACUUGACCAAU